UACAGAGGGGGCGAGCGUUGUUCGGAAUUACUGGGCGUAAAGGGCGCGUAGGCGGCCAGCUGAGUCAGACGUGAAAUCCCCAGGCUCAACCUGGGAAUUGCGUCUGAUACUGGAUGGCUCGAAUCCGGGAGAGGGAUGUGGAAUUCCAGGUGUAGCGGUGAAAUGCGUAGAUAUCUGGAGGAACACCGGUGGCGAAGGCGGCAUCCUGGACCGGCAUUGACGCUGAGGCGCGAAAGCCAGGGGAGCAAACGGG
This 253-nucleotide ribosomal RNA is filed under the name uncultured Acidobacteriota bacterium. RNAcentral describes it as "uncultured Acidobacteria bacterium partial 16S ribosomal RNA". It matches the Rfam family "Bacterial small subunit ribosomal RNA", at positions 524 to 776 of the family's 1533-position model. The record is from RNAcentral. Lineage: Bacteria; Pseudomonadati; Acidobacteriota.